Molecule: ribosomal RNA, 484 nt
Filed under: uncultured bacterium
Lineage: Bacteria
Description: partial 16S ribosomal RNA
Rfam family: Bacterial small subunit ribosomal RNA
Source: RNAcentral
AUUGAACGCUGGCGGCAUGCUUUACACAUGCAAGUCGAACGGCAGCGCGGGCUUCGGCCUGGCGGCGAGUGGCGAACGGGUGAGUAAUGCAUCGGAACGUGCCCAGUAGUGGGGGAUAGCCCGGCGAAAGCCGGAUUAAUACCGCAUACGACCUGAGGGUGAAAGCGGGGGACCGAAAGGCCUCGCGCUAUUGGAGCGGCCGAUGUCGGAUUAGCUAGUUGGUGGGGUAAAGGCUUACCAAGGCGACGAUCCGUAGCUGGUCUGAGAGGACGACCAGCCACAAUGGGACUUGGAACCGGCCCAGACUCCUACGGGAGGCAGCAGUGGGGAAAUUUGGACAAUGGGGGCAACCCUGAUCCAGCCAUGCCGCGUGCGGGAAGAAGGCCUUCGGGUUGUAAACCGCUUUUGUUCGGGAAGAAAUCCUCUGGGCUAAUACCCCGGGGGGAUGACGGUACCGGAAGAAUAAGCACCGGCUAACUACGUG